GAUGAGAACGCAGCGAAAUGCGAUAAGUAGUGUGAAUUGCAGAAUUCAGUGAAUCAUCGAAUCUUUGAACGCACAUUGCGCCCUUUGGUAUUCCUUAGGGCAUGCCUGUUCGAGCGUCAUUUAAACCUUCAAGCUCAGCUUGGUGUUGGGUGACUGUCCGCUUCACCGCGGACUCGCCUCAAAAUUAUUGGCGGCCGGUACAUUGGCUCUCGAGCGCAGCAGAAACGCGUAACUCGAGGUCCUCGUGCUGGCUCCCAGAAGCUAUCUUCACAAUUUUGACCUCGGAUCAGGUAGGGAUACCCGCUGAACUUAAGCAUAUCAAUAAGCGGAGGA
Molecule: unclassified non-coding RNA, 333 nt
Filed under: soil metagenome
Description: partial contains 5.8S ribosomal RNA, internal transcribed spacer 2, and large subunit ribosomal RNA
Rfam family: 5.8S ribosomal RNA (bases 5-119)
Source: RNAcentral